GCUCACUUCAGCAGCAUACAGUAAAAUUGGAAUGAUACAGAAAAGACUAGCAUGGUCCCUGCACAAAGACACACAAAUCUGUGAAGCAUUCCAUAUUGAA
This is a small nuclear RNA of Spermophilus dauricus (Daurian ground squirrel), 100 nucleotides long. NCBI's taxonomy places the organism in Eukaryota, Metazoa, Chordata, Mammalia, Rodentia, Sciuridae. The record is from Ensembl.